UUGGGGGGGGGGGGGGUCACACGUGUAUGCACGAACACAAACGCCUGUGUAUGUUACCAAUGUCCACUGCAGGUGCCAACCCUAUGAAAGAAAGCAGUCGAAACCUAAGCAGUAAGCAGCUUCUUCCGAUGGUCUUGUCAGUAUAUGUUGCAUGCCAAUACCGUCAAGGCACACUGUCACGGAUAACCUAGGUCUGGCACCAAAUCUCCUGAUGACGUAACCAUGGUGACAUGGAAAGUAGAAUCAGCAGUCAGGACGGCGAUCAUGGUACCAUCAACAUCCCUGGGAUAUUUUGCCCGCCACUCAGCACUAGAAGAGCUCAAGUCUUGCAGCAGGUUGGACUUAUCUGGCACCAGUCUUGAUCUGGCCCAUUCAGAUCUUGUCCGCUAUCGUUGCAGUAAGAGAAAAAUUGUGUGUGCACAUCCAGUGCAUUUGCAGAUUUGCGUGCUUCUCUUGCGACCGCAUACACUUGGUACAUGGUGUGUGUGUGUGUGUGUGCGUGCGCAUGCGGUGAGCACGCACGGUGCGCGGGUUCAAGAUUGUGUUGGUGUGUGCAUGCGGGCGAGUAUAUUCACAUGCUGAUGCUGGUUCUACACAUAUCAUUGUGUUGAGAGUUGGCAGGCGGUGCGAUACAUAUUUUCCAAGGCAUUGGCAUGCCUUUUAAAUUCUCUCGCACAGAUUUUGACCGUGCUCUCAUUUAGGCUCAUGCUGUUCCUCACAGGUACAAUGUGUGCUUGAUACUAAACACACUUUUAAUCAUGAUUUUGGGAUGCUGAAACUCUAAUACUACUACUAGUAUGUUGUCACUUUUGUAAGAUCUCUUACACGCUAUUCUAUAACAUUUAGUGCCCAAGCUUUUCUUGAACCCCUAAAAAUAGGCCUGAUUACAAAAAUAUAAUAUAUGUCUCAUUUCUUUAUCCACAUUCCGAACAUUCAUUAUUAAACAUACCAUAAAAGCUGUAUAGCAUGUCAUUUUAGUAGGGGUGAAACAAUUUUACCGAAUACUCGAGUACUAGCACUCGCUCGGUUUUUUCAUAAAUAAUCGUACUUGGAAUAAAUCAGAGCACUCGUUCAAUUAUGGUACAUGCAUUUACCACAGAAAUCUGCAGUUUCAGAGCAGCAGUCGG
Sycon ciliatum is the source of this 1127-nucleotide long non-coding RNA. RefSeq lists it as uncharacterized. The transcript has 2 exons. Lineage: Eukaryota; Metazoa; Porifera; Calcarea; Leucosolenida; Sycettidae. The record is from RefSeq and is a predicted model, not a curated record.